This is a long non-coding RNA of Ursus maritimus (polar bear), 1704 nucleotides long. NCBI's taxonomy places the organism in Eukaryota, Metazoa, Chordata, Mammalia, Carnivora, Ursidae. The record is from Ensembl.
GCUCCUGCAUCAACCGCCCCCCCGCCCCCGGCGGAGGACGCAGGGCUGGCAGUACCACCAGGAGGAGCGAAGCAGAGCGCAGCAACACCAGCAGCCGAAAUAGCUCAGUUGGGAGAGCGUUAGACUGAAGAUCUAAAGGUCCCUGGUUCGAUCCCGGGUUUCGGCAGUUCCGUUUUUUUCCCCCAGAUGAAAGGGGGCUAAAAAAAUACAACGCCGGAAGAGACGUAGUCAAUUCUUUCCAAUCAGUUAAUGGGUUUCAGUUUAUUUAAAAAAGCUCGGAGCGGUAUCCAUGGGAAACCGGAGCGGAGGGAAACUUUUUGGCAAUCCAGGGAACUCCAACAAGGCUGUGUUUUUCUUGACUCCUUUUCUCCCAUUUUGUAAACGCGUAUUAAUCUCUGUGACAUGUUUGCUGAUAUCUGCUCGUUAAUUUUGGCUUCCUGUUUAUUAAUUUCUGCUCCCCGAAUCCUGGCGACUGAAUCAAGGAUGGAGCCAGGAACAGGCUCGCUAAGAUGAAGUUAAAUCGAGGGGGACUUUUGUUUUUCGGUUUUGAAGAAAAAAGAAUAAAACGUGAAGCCCUUUGAUGUGUGUUCGUACGCAGCGGAACUUGAAUGUGCCUUAAAAAGAGUACCUGAAGGGCUCGAGACGGAGCUGGUCCUCGUUAGUAUAGUGACCAAAUUCUUCCACUUUUGUAGAAACUCCUUACUCUGGGAAAAUCAACUUGACUGGCCGGCGGGAUUCGGCCUGGAGGGCCUGGAGGGCCUGGUGGCCAUCAAGGUCCAGUUUCCUAGUGUCACAUGGUUACGGGAAAGACCAACUUCUCGCAGUGCGGCGGUAUUUCCCACCUCCUGCAAGCCCACAGUGGCUGUGAAGUGGUCGGUUUGGACGGUGCUGUCCCCGAACAAGACUGCCAACUUCCAAGGCCAGGAAAUGCUCCUUUUGCUGCAAAUAAUUCCAUCCUUUCGUAUCUUGCUCAGGGCCCAGGCUGGCCCUUAAAAAUAGCUUAUGGAUUUGAGACAGAAGAGGCUAAGGGGAGCUGUUAGCAGAAAAAUGUAAAGGCGAAGAUCAUCUGAUGACUAAAACCACAGCCCGGGUGAGGAAGAUCAACUGGGGAAGUCACGGACCUGUUCCUGGUAUUGUGACUGCAGUGAAAGGCCCCCAGCACUCGUGACUGAUUCCUCGCCAUCAGAGGGCAAGUAUGGAAAGUCUGACUGUGUUGGCCCUUGCCCUUUAUUUGUGCUGUUAAUAACCAACCAGUUUGGGAGUGACCCAAAAGGAAACCAGCAUUCCUGGCAGGCAGGAUUUUGCUUCCUGCAUCAGUGACAGGUCACAAAUCGAAUGAAUGAAUGAAUGAAUGAAUGAAUGAAUGAAUGAAUGAAUGGCUUUGAUGCACAUACUGUUCACGUUUAUAUUUAUACACGAUUUGUAUUUUAUCAUUAAAGAUCAAAGAUGUAUUUUAUUGAAAGAAGAGAUUCUGUUGCAUUCUGCGGGUUCAGUUCUUUGCCUGCAGUAAUAAUGAAUUCCUCACCCAUCAAAUCCUGUUUCUCAUGUGACUUGACCUCAUAUUUGAAAGCAUAAAAACUUCUCAUCUUAGAUCUGGAGGGAUGUGACUCUCUGCACAGCGUUCCCUUUUGAGAUGAAACUGAAAUUUGUGAGAUGACUCACCCGCUGGGUGGUGGCGUUUUGGUGACAGCUCCUGUUGCGAAU